Molecule: long non-coding RNA, 333 nt
Organism: Selaginella moellendorffii
Lineage: Eukaryota; Viridiplantae; Streptophyta; Lycopodiopsida; Selaginellales; Selaginellaceae
Exons: 3
Source: RefSeq, a predicted model, not a curated record
AGCAACGCGGGAUCCUUCAACCAGUAUCCUUCCUUUUCCAAUCUGGCGUAAACCUCAGAGCCGGAAGUAACGCUCCAAUACCGUUCCCGCGAGGAUAUCUGAAGCACGAUGGUCUGUCGUCGAUGGCCGCUGCUGUAGCAAUCAUAUGCAUGAGUUCGGCUUCGUCAGCGGGUGCCAUGACCACCAUGUUUGGAAGGCAAGCCAUGUCGACGUCGUGAACCACCUGCAAACCAAGUUGUUAGAUGGCUGGUCCAUAAACUCGUCUGUAAGCACGCACCUGGUCGUAUCCUCUUUGGAGGAAUGAAGAGUAAAUUGCGCAGAAAGGCUUGAUUC